CCCACCAAGGCGACGAUCAGUAGGGGUUCUGAGAGGAAGGUCCCCCACAUUGGAACUGAGACACGGUCCAAACUCCUACGGGAGGCAGCAGUGAGGAAUAUUGGUCAAUGGACGAGAGUCUGAACCAGCCAAGUAGCGUGCAGGAUGACGGCCCUAUGGGUUGUAAACUGCUUUUAUAAGGGAAUAAAGUGAGUCUCGUGAGACUUUUUGCAUGUACCUUAUGAAUAAGGACCGGCUAAUUCCGUGCCAGCAGCCGCGGUAAUACGGAAGGUCCGGGCGUUAUCCGGAUUUAUUGGGUUUAAAGGGAGCGUAGGCCGGAGAUUAAGCGUGUUGUGAAAUGUAGACGCUCAACGUCUGCACUGCAGCGCGAACUGGUUUCCUUGAGUACGCACAAAGUGGGCGGAAUUCGUGGUGUAGCGGUGAAAUGCUUAGAUAUCACGAAGAACUCCGAUUGCGAAGGCAGCUCACUGGAGCGCAACUGACGCUGAAGCUCGAAAGUGCGGGUAUCGAACAGGAUUAGAUACCCUGGUAGUCCGCACGGUAAACGAUGGAUGCCCGCUGUUGGUCUGAAUAGGUCAGCGGCCAAGCGAAAGCAUUAAGCAUCCCACCUGGGG
Molecule: ribosomal RNA, 614 nt
Filed under: uncultured bacterium
Lineage: Bacteria
Description: bacterial SSU rRNA
Rfam family: Bacterial small subunit ribosomal RNA
Source: RNAcentral